This 462-nucleotide ribosomal RNA is filed under the name uncultured ammonia-oxidizing beta proteobacterium. Its description in RNAcentral is "bacterial SSU rRNA". It matches the Rfam family "Bacterial small subunit ribosomal RNA", at positions 202 to 647 of the family's 1533-position model. The record is from RNAcentral. Lineage: Bacteria; Pseudomonadati; Pseudomonadota; Betaproteobacteria.
AAGCAGGGGAUCGCAAGACCUUGCGCUUUUGGAGCGGCCGAUGCCUGAUUAGCUAGUUGGUGGGGUAAAGGCCUACCAAGGCGACGAUCAGUAGUUGGUCUGAGAGGACGACCAGCCACACUGGGACUGAGACACGGCCCAGACUCCUACGGGAGGCAGCAGUGGGGAAUUUUGGACAAUGGGCGCAAGCCUGAUCCAGCCAUGCCGCGUGAGUGAAGAAGGCCUUCGGGUUGUAAAGCUCUUUCAGCCGGGAAGAAAAGGUUGCGACUAAUAAUCGCAAUUCAUGACGGUACCGAAAGAAGAAGCACCGGCUAACUACGUGCCAGCAGCCGCGGUAAUACGUAGGGUGCGAGCGUUAAUCGGAAUUACUGGGCGUAAAGGGUGCGCAGGCGGUUUUGUAAGUCAGAUGUGAAAUCCCCGGGCUUAACCUGGGAAUUGCGUUUGAAACUACAAAGCUAGAGU